GACUGUUGUUAACAUGACGCUUAUAACUGCGCUGUGGCGGACAUGACAGCUCACAGCUCCUCAGAAGCUCCGUGCACCGUGAGCUGUCCAGUGAGGGGAUGGUUUCAUGAUCAAAUCUUCAUUUACUGUCCACAUUAUCAGAUGAGGACGUCACCAAAGAGUGUCCUUUGAGUCAAUGUUUACAUUUAUGUACAGAUAAUUAAGAACAAUUAGUUAAUUGUAAAAUGCUAAUUAUUUUCUCCUGCCACCUUUCAGACAUUAUAAUCCAACUUGGAUGGAACAACUUCGUGACCUUAAUGACACCCAGCAACACGAUGUUUUUUUCUUUAUUUGUGUUAGAGCUAGAGAGACACACAAGCACCACAGGGGAGGAUCUGCAGCAAAGGGCCCACCGGAAAUCAAACCUUGGCCGCCAUGAUGACGACAACAUGGGGCACUUGAGUGUGAAUCUAGCCUUUUCAUUUUUAUUUACAACAUUAGCAUUGAAAAGAGCAAAAGUUGAUGCUUGAGAUGAUUUUGUUUUUACUGAAGAGGAUGUAUGUCCUCCCUUUGUCCUUUAUCCCCUUACUCUUUCUUUUUAGGUGUGAUUACGACUACCAGCAUGAACCUCAACACCUUCUUUGCUGUUCCACUAGUGUGACCCAUGAUCGGAUACAAGUUGUCAAGGAUAAACGGGAAGAGAAUCAUGUCAGCCCACAGACAACCGGUUGACCUGUGAGUCUUCAAGCAGUAAUGAUGACUACUCCUGCCUUAAGUUCCAGUUUCCUGGACAUCAUGUCGGCAUGAG
Molecule: long non-coding RNA, 787 nt
Organism: Pseudoliparis swirei
Lineage: Eukaryota; Metazoa; Chordata; Actinopteri; Perciformes; Liparidae
Exons: 3
Source: RefSeq, a predicted model, not a curated record